Etheostoma spectabile (orangethroat darter) is the source of this 134-nucleotide long non-coding RNA. RefSeq lists it as uncharacterized. The record is from RefSeq and is a predicted model, not a curated record. Lineage: Eukaryota; Metazoa; Chordata; Actinopteri; Perciformes; Percidae. The transcript is spliced from 4 exons.
CAAAAAAGCGAAAAGUAUAGGAGCUGAAUGUAAAAAGAGCAAACUGGAGGGCAAGUGACUACUCAUUAUUGUAUGAGUUAUGUCAAUUUCUCUCUUCAACUUAUGAUAACAAAUUACAUAGGACUAGUAUAGUA